This is an RNA transcript of Prosopis cineraria, 1984 nucleotides long. It is a transcript of the gene named F-box/kelch-repeat protein At3g24760, with no coding region annotated. The record is from RefSeq and is a predicted model, not a curated record. The transcript has 3 exons. Lineage: Eukaryota; Viridiplantae; Streptophyta; Magnoliopsida; Fabales; Fabaceae.
ACAUGCCAUGUCAAUGAUCCCUGGUGCCUCAUAAAUAAAUGAAGCCAGGCCAUCGCUCUCUCUCUCUCUCUUCCGGUUCUGUGCUCUCCCUCAUCUAUCGACCUAAUCUUCCGUUCACGCCUAAUUCCAUCAUCUUCCCAACGAAAAAAUCUCUCUCUCUCUCUCCUCUCAUCACUCGGAUGACAGAGUUCACUCACCUGAGCUCAGACCUCAUCGAGCUCAUCCUCUCCUUUCUUCCUAUCCCCACUCUCAUUCGCGCCUCUACUGUCUGCAAGCUCUGGUACUCCAUUAUCUCCUCCCCUACUUUUUCCUCCGUCACCCACUCUCGCUCGCACCAUAACCAACCCUGGUUCUUCCUCUACGGUUUCCACAACAUCUCCUCCAAGAACAAUCAGUCCUUUGCCUUCGAUCCCGUCUCCAAUCGCUGGCUUCGCCUUCCCGCCUUCUCCUCCCUCCAACCCCAACAACCAUCCAUCACUUCCUUCAUGGGAACUAAUGGCUUUUUCUUCCUUACUGCUCCCAAAUUCUGCUAUUCUCGAACCCUUAAUCCUCAUUGGCGUGCCACUCCUCCGCUCCAUUUUCCCCGGACUAACCCUCUUUUGGGUGUUUUCAGUGAUGGCAGUGAUUCCUCCCCUAAGUUUAUUGUCGUCGGCGGGGUGAAGUUUAUCGGGAAUUUGGUUGAUAUUGAGGAGCGAUUGGAUUUGGAAAUUUACGAUCCUCGUUCGGACUCUUGGGAGCUUGGUCCUCCUUUGCCGGCGGAUUUUAGAUCUGGCAAUUCGUCGUCGUCGUUGUCAUCGGCGUUGUUUGGAGGCCGAUUUUACGUGCUUGGGAUAUCUUCGUGCUUUAUUUCCUCAUUUCAUUUGCGUGAACGUGUUUGGAGCGAGGUUCAGACGCUUAGGCCGCCUGGGGUUGUUUUCUCGUUCUUAAUUGCGUGCAGGGAAGUGCUUGUUUUGGCUGGUAUUCGUAACGCACCUCUUGGACCGUCCUUUCAUUUGUGGAAGGUUGAUACGAAGACGAUGGAGUUAAGUGAGAUUUCAGUGAUGCCCCAUAAUUUACUUUACAGCUUGUUUGAUAGUGAUGAGGACGACAAUUUUGCAAGUCUGAAAUGCGUGGGGUUGGGGGAUUUUGUAUAUGUUUUCAAUGAAGAUUAUCACAGGGUAUAUCCAGCUUGUCUUUGUGAGAUUGAUAGUAAGUCGGUCAGGUGCAGUUGGAGAAGAGUGCCCCAUUUGCCACUACCUGUGAACAAGUUCCACAAGGUCACUAGCUUUUGUUCAACUGUUUCACUGCAUAGUAUCUUGGGUGAACGAGGACAUCCUGCCCUUCUACAGUCUGCCUGAUUGUUCAUUCCCUACCAGGGACCACCUCAUAGGAAUUGCUGCCGUUGAUAGAGAGCCUGAGGAGUCAGAGACAUGAUUCAUGUCUUCAUAUUGGUUCCAGUGUUGUAGCUGUUGAAUCUUUGUUCUUCUAUUAGAAGGCUAGAGACAUGAAUGCAUUCAGCAGAUAAAAAAUAUGAAGCGAUUCCUUGCGUAAACGCUAAAGCAUGGGUUGGGAUAACCAUUUGUUCAAGAAUAUAUUUAUAUGGCUGCUAUACCAACCUUGUUCAAAUUCAUCAUUCUCUUCUCACAUGACCAGAAGCUCUCUUUCAACAAUAAUAGUGGAUGAAACAGCAGGCGCGUUGCCUGGUCUGUGUGGCAAAUAAAUAGUAUGUAAAUGUAAUUUGACUGUGACAAGUGAAUUAUAUUAUUUGUAUAUUACUAUGUUGUACUAUUAUGUUACAGUAUUACCGGUUCUUUUCUUUCUUUCCAAGCAACUCGGCAAGUUUAGCUAGGUGAGGGUUCUGCUUUGAACUCUUGUAAUGUUGUGAAUCUCUUCAUUGUAUGUAGAAACAUUGUGUAUCCUCACGUUUUUCGUAUCAAGCAAAUUGAUGUAUGACGGGGCCGCUCAGCUCUUUUAUAUGAUAAAAUUAGACGUUCUGUUCUGUGUA